AAAGAUAAACAUCUUUUAUUUAAAUGUAACCUCCAGUGGAAUAAAAUCUUCUUUCAACUGACUUUUGGCCUUCCCUCUUUUAGUUGGUGUUCUCUGUUAAAGCAUUCCACAGUCUCAGAAGCUGAGGUCCUGAAGUGACCCCUCCAUCCCAACUCAUGUCACGUCCAAGCUAAUUAGAAGGCCCCAAAUCUCCUUGGCAGUACUGGGCUGAAGACAGCAGAAUGAGGGUCUUUGUUAAUAAAAUCUACCCCUGAUUCAAGCCUUCUCAUGGCCUCAUGGGUGCAGGAACUGGUCACCCACUAGUUAAACAGUCAGUCGUUUGGCUGCCUUUGGCUUUCUGUUUUGAAUGAAAGGAGGAAAAUGACAAUGUCUGGAAAUACACAAGGGCAUGCACUAAAAACUGCCACUUGGGAUUGAAUGAGAGAACUAUUAGACAAAGGCAAUGUCUCGGGGAUCCCUCUCCACCUCUUUCACGGAAAAAUCCUUCUCUUUAGCAAGUUUUGUU
This 505-nucleotide long non-coding RNA is filed under the name Bos taurus (domestic cattle). Its description in RNAcentral is "long non-coding RNA NONBTAT017129". The record is from RNAcentral. Lineage: Eukaryota; Metazoa; Chordata; Mammalia; Artiodactyla; Bovidae.